UGGGGAAUAUUGCACAAUGGGCGCAAGCCUGAUGCAGCCAUGCCGCGUGUAUGAAGAAGGCCUUCGGGUUGUAAAGUACUUUCAGUCGGGAGGAAGGUGUCAAGGUUAAUAACCUUGGCAAUUGACGUUACCGACAGAAGAAGCACCGGCUAACUCCGUGCCAGCAGCCGCGAUAAUACGUAGGGUGCAAGCGUUAAUCGGAAUUACUGGGCGUAAAGCGCACGCAGGCGGUUGAUUGAGUCAGAUGUGAAAUCCCCGGGCUUAACCCGGGAAUUGCAUCUGAUACUGGUCAGCUAGAGUCUUGUAGAGGGGGGUAGGAUUCCAUGUGUAGCGGUGAAAUGCGUAGAGAUGUGGAGGAAAACCGGUGGCGAAGGCGGACACCUGGACAAAGACUGACGCUCAGGUGCGAAAGAGUGGGGAGCAAACAGG
Molecule: ribosomal RNA, 429 nt
Filed under: Chloroflexota bacterium
Lineage: Bacteria; Bacillati; Chloroflexota
Description: Chloroflexi bacterium partial 16S ribosomal RNA
Rfam family: Bacterial small subunit ribosomal RNA
Source: RNAcentral